CAAGUCGAUAACCAUUGGGGGGUAAGGCCUCCAAGGGAGGUUCGUAACGGUUUGAAGGGNGUNCGCCCCCCGGGACUGAGNCCGGCCCAGUUUCUCGGGAGGCAGCAGUGGGAANNUUGGCAAUGGGCGAACCCUGAUUCAACCAUUCCCGGGGGUGAAGAAGGCUUUGGGUUUUAAAGCCCUUUAAGUGGGGAGGNGGGGCAUNAAGUUAAUACCUANGAUGAUNUGACGUUCCUNCAGAAUAAGCCUCGGCUAACUCNUGCCAGCAGCCGCGGUAAUACNAAGGGUGCAAGCGUUAAUCGGAAUUACUGGGCGUAAAGCCCGCGUAGGCGGUUNAUCAAGUCGGAUGUGAAAUCCCCGAGCUCAACUUGGGAACUGCAUUCGAUACUGGGAAGCUAGAGUAUGGUAGAGGAUGGUAGAAUUUCAGGUGUAGCGGUGAAAUGCGUAGAGAUCUGGAGGAAUACCGGUGGCGAAGGCAGCCAUCUGGCCUAAUACUGACGCUGAGGUACGAAAGCAUGGGGAGCAAACAGGAUUAGAUACCCUGGUAGUCCAUGCCGUAAACGAUGUCGACUAGCCGUUGGGACCCUUGAGAUUUUAGUGGCGCAGCUAACGCGAUAAGUAGACCGCCUGGGGAGUACGGUCGCAAGGUUAAAACUCAAAUGAAUUGACGGGGGCCCGCACAAGCGGUGGAGCAUGUGGUUUAAUUCGAUGCAACGCGAAGAACCUUACCUGGUCUUGACAUAGUGAGAACUUUCCAGAGAUGGAUUGGUGCCUUCGGGAACUCACAUACAGGUGCUGCAUGGCUGUCGUCAGCUCGUGUCGUGAGAUGUUGGGUUAAGUCCCGCAACGAGCGCAACCCUUGUCCUUAGUUGCCAGCACUUCGGGUGGGCACUCUAAGGAGACUGCCAGUGACAAACUGGAGGAAGGUGGGGAUGACGUCAAGUCAUCAUGGCCCUUACGACCAGGGCUACACACGUGCUACAAUGGUCGGUACAAAGGGUUGCCACCUAGCGAUAUGGUGCUAAUCUCAUAAAGCCGAUCGUAGUCCGGAUUGNAGUCUGCAACUCGACUGCAUGAAGUCGGAAUCGCUAGUAAUCGCGGAUCAGAAUGUCGCGGUGAAUACGUUCCCGGGCCUUGUACACUCCGCCCGUCACACCAUGGGAGUGGGUUGCACCAGAAGUAGGUAGUCUAACCGUAAGGAGGACGGCUUAACCCCAGGGGUUCNCCCUUU
This 1231-nucleotide ribosomal RNA is filed under the name Acinetobacter guillouiae. RNAcentral describes it as "bacterial SSU rRNA". It matches the Rfam family "Bacterial small subunit ribosomal RNA", at positions 233 to 1472 of the family's 1533-position model. The record is from RNAcentral. Lineage: Bacteria; Pseudomonadati; Pseudomonadota; Gammaproteobacteria; Moraxellales; Moraxellaceae.